RNAcentral lists this ribosomal RNA (443 nucleotides) under uncultured bacterium. RNAcentral describes it as "partial 16S ribosomal RNA". It matches the Rfam family "Bacterial small subunit ribosomal RNA", at positions 338 to 795 of the family's 1533-position model. The record is from RNAcentral.
CCUACGGGAGGCAGCAGUGGGGAAUAUUGCACAAUGGGCGAAAGCCUGAUGCAGCAAAGCCGCGUGAAGGAAGAAGGUGUUCAGCUCGUAAACUUCUAUCAGCAGGGGCGAAAAAAAAGACUGUACCUGCAUAAGAAGCCCCGGCUAACUACGUGCAAGCAGCCGCGGUAAUACGUAGGGGUCAAGCGUUAUCCGGAAUUACGGGGUGUACGGGGUGAGUAGGCGGAAUGGUAAGACAGAUGUGAAAGCCUUGGGCUUAACCCGAGGAUUGCAUUUGGAACUAUCAAGCUAGAGUACAGGAGAGGAAAGCGGAAUUCCGAGUGUAGCGGUGAAAUGCGUAGAUAUUAGGAAGAACACCAGUGGCGAAGGCGGCUUUCUGGACUGAAACUGACGCUGAGGCACGAAAGCGUGGGUAGCGAACAGGAUUAGAUACCCGAGUAGUC